Molecule: ribosomal RNA, 515 nt
Filed under: uncultured bacterium
Lineage: Bacteria
Description: partial 16S ribosomal RNA
Rfam family: Bacterial small subunit ribosomal RNA
Source: RNAcentral
GAUGAACGCUGGCGGCGUGCCUAAUACAUGCAAGUCGAGCGAAUGGAUUAAGAGCUUGCUCUUAUGAAGUUAGCGGCGGACGGGUGAGUAACACGUGGGUAACCUGCCCAUAAGACUGGGAUAACUCCGGGAAACCGGGGCUAAUACCGGAUAACAUUUUGAACCGCAUGGUUCGAAAUUGAUAGGCGGCUGCGGCUGUCACUUAUGGAUGGACACGAGGCGCAUUAGCAAGUUGGUGAGGUAACGGCUCACAAAGGCAAAGAUGCGUAGCCGACCUGAGAGGGUGAUCGGCCACACUGGGACUGGGACACGGCCCAGACUCCUACGGGAGGCAGCAGUAGGGAAUCUUCCGCAAUGGACGAAAGUCUGACGGAGCAACGCCGCGUGAGUGAUGAAGGCUUUCGGGUCGUAAAACUCUGUUGUUAGGGAAGAACAAGUGCUAGUUGAAUAAGCUGGCACCUUGACGGUACCUAACCAGAAAGCCACGGCUAACUACGUGCCAGCCGCCGCCGUAA